Molecule: long non-coding RNA, 686 nt
Organism: Leptidea sinapis
Lineage: Eukaryota; Metazoa; Arthropoda; Insecta; Lepidoptera; Pieridae
Exons: 2
Source: RefSeq, a predicted model, not a curated record
GUUCAGUGAAUAGGAUCCAGAACUAUCAUAUAAGUAACGUAUCGAACAGAAGAAUGAAAACAACAGUAUUAACUAUUUUUGUUCUUUUUGCCUGUGUGUGCUUCUCAUACACCUCUCCUAUUGAUAAUGACGUCGUACAAGACCCGCCCGCAGUUGGAGGUCCGGUGAAGAUGGUAGAGUUGUACAGUGAAUCUAGACGACUAUAUUGUGAUCUUCUUAUGUGCCAUAACACAUGCAGGGCGCUCCGAUAUACAAUUGGGAGAUGUAAUAUUAACAAUGUAUGCGUAUGUAGUUUCUUUUAGCCCUUUUUCCCGUAUAUAUCUAAUGUCUUAACAUAUUGUUAUUUUUAUUUCAAACGAGACGAUAAAAUUAUUAAAAAAAAGAUUACGUCAGUGUAUAGUAUUUACCGCUAUAAAUAAUAUAAACAACAAUAAAAGAUAUAUUUUUUCUGAAAUGUGGCCCCAAAGAAUAAAGUUAAAAUAUAAAAAAUACAUUUUGAUUAUACGGUUACAUAACGAGGGAAAGAACUUUAUCAAAAUAACUUUAUGCUCUUAAUUAAUAUAUACCGUAACUCCAGCUUAGUACAUUCCUCGAUGCCAAAAUAAAAAUGUAUCAACCACCCCAAUACUAAAUUAAAAUUACUUUGAAAUAGUCUUGGCAAUUGUAUAUUUAUUUGCAAAAUAUAA